This 1944-nucleotide ribosomal RNA is filed under the name human gut metagenome. Its description in RNAcentral is "bacterial LSU rRNA". It matches the Rfam family "Bacterial large subunit ribosomal RNA", at positions 1 to 1983 of the family's 2925-position model. The record is from RNAcentral.
UUAAAGUAGUAAGGGCGCAGGGUGGAUGCCUUGGCACUAAGAGCCGAUGAAAGACGUGAUAAGCUGCGAAAAGCUUCGGGGAGGAGCACAUAUCCAAUGAUCCGGAGAUAUCUGAAUGGGGAAACCCGGCAGAGGAAACCUCUGUCAGCGUGCAGUGAAUACAUAGCUGUACGUGGGGAACCCGGGGAACUGAAACAUCUAAGUACCCGGAGGAAGAGAAAGAAAAUUUAUCGAUUUCCAAAGUAGCGGCGAGCGAAAUGGAAAGAGCCCAAACCGUGAUGCGUGCAUCGCGGGGUUCGGACUGCGUUGUGGCAGACGUAAGAUAGGAGAACGGACUGGGAAGUCCGGCCGGAGAGAGUGAAAGCCUCGUAUCCGAAAUCCCAAGUCGCCUAGCAGGAUCCAGAGUAGGACGAGACACGAGAAACCUUGUCUGAACGAGCGGGGACCACCCCGUAAGGCUAAAUACUUCUUAGUGACCGAUAGCGCAUAGUACUGUGAAGGAAAGGUGAAAAGUACCCCGGGAGGGGAGUGAAAGAGAACCUGAAACCCUGUGUCUACAAGCUGUGGGACCUCUUUAUAUGAGGGACUGCGUACUUUUUGUAGAACGGUCCGGCGAGUUGUGCGUACUGGCGAGGUUAAGGACUUAAGGUCUGGAGCCGAAGUGAAAGCAAGCGUUAAUAGCGCGUCAAGUCAGUGAGUGCAGACCCGAAACCGGGUGACCUAUCCAUGUCCAGGUUGAAGCUUCCGUAAGAGGAAGUGGAGGACCGAACCCACAUCCGUUGAAAAGGGUGGGGAUGAGGUGUGGAUAGCGGAGAAAUUCCAAUCGAACCCGGAGAUAGCUGGUUCUCCUCGAAAUAGCUUUAGGGCUAGCCUCAUGAGAGUCUUAUGGAGGUAGAGCACUGAAUUGCCUAGGGGGCGUCAAAGCUUACCAAAGCAUAUCAAACUCCGAAUGCCAUCAAGAUGAUUCAUGGGAGUCAGACCAUACGAGAUAAGUUGGAUGGUCAAAAGGGAAAGAGCCCAGACCUACAGCUAAGGUCCCAAAGUACGUGUUAAGUGGAAAAGGAUGUGGGGAUUCUAAGACAACUAGGACGUUGGCUUAGAAGCAGCCAUUCAUUGAAAGAGUGCGUAAUAGCUCACUAGUCGAGAGUCCCUGCGCCGAAAAUGUCCGGGGCUGAAACACGACACCGAAGCUUAGGAAUGUGUAAACAUUGGUAGAGGAGCAUUGCUAGCGGGAUGAAGCCAUACCGUAAGGAGUGGUGGACUGCUAGGAAGAGAGAAUGCCGGAAUGAGUAGCGAGAUGAAGGUGAGAAUCCUUCAGGCCGAAUAUCUAAGGUUUCCAGAGUAAAGCUGAUCUGCUCUGGGUAAGUCGGGACCUAAGGCGAGGUCGAAAGACGUAGUCGAUGGAUAACAGGUUGAAAUUCCUGUACCGCAUAUAAACAGAACUGUGGGGACACAGACAGGGAAUGGAAUCCGGGAAUGGAUAUCCCGGUGCAAGCGAGGUAGGAGUGCUGUUGGCAAAUCCGCAGCACGAUCUGAAGACGUGACGCGUACCGAACAUAAGUAGGGAAGUCCAGGCCCCUGGCUGUCAAGAAAAGCCGCUAUCGUUUUAUAUGUGCCCGUACCGCAAACCGACACAGGUGGAUGAGGAGAGAAUCCUAAGGCCGACGGGAGAAGUAUUGUUAAGGAACUCGGCAAAAUGACUCCGUAACUUCGGGAGAAGGAGUGCCAUGAGAGUGGCCGCAGAGAAAUGGCCCAAGCAACUGUUUAGCAAAAACACAGGUCUAUGCAAAACCGCAAGGUGAAGUAUAUGGGCUGACGCCUGCCCGGUGCUGGAAGGUUAAGGGGAGAGGUUAGCGCAAGCGAAGCUUUGAACUUAAGCCCCAGUAAACGGCGGCCGUAACUAUAACGGUCCUAAGGUAGCGAAAUUCCUUGUCGGGUAAGUUC